Molecule: small RNA, 517 nt
Filed under: uncultured Glomus
Lineage: Eukaryota; Fungi; Glomeromycota; Glomeromycetes; Glomerales; Glomeraceae
Description: SSU rRNA
Rfam family: Eukaryotic small subunit ribosomal RNA
Source: RNAcentral
AGCAGCCGCGGUAAUUCCAGCUCCAAUAGCGUAUAUUAAAGUUGUUGCAGUUAAAAAGCUCGUAGUUGAAUUUCGAGAUCAAAUUGUUGGUCGUGCCUCGGUACGUACUGGCAUUAUUGAUUUCUCCCUUCUGACGAUCCGCGAUGUCAUUAAUUUGGUGUCGCGGGGAAUCAGGACUGUUACUUUGAAAAAAUUAGAGUGUUUAAAGCAGGCUCACGCUUGAAUACAUUAGCAUGGAAUAAUGAAAUAGGACGUUUGAUUCUAUUUUGUUGGUUUCUAGGAUCGACGUAAUGAUUAAUAGGGAUAGUUGGGGGCAUUAGUAUUCAAUUGUCAGAGGUGAAAUUCUUGGAUUUAUUGAAGACUAACUACUGCGAAAGCAUUUGCCAAGGAUGUUUUCAUUAAUCAAGAACGAAAGUAGGGGAUCGAAGACGAUCAGAUACCGUCGUAGUCUUAACCAUAAACUAUGCCGACUAGGGAUCGGAUGAUGUUAAUUUUUUAAUGACUCAUUCGGCGUCCG